GACACCAUCCACAGAAAAUCGGGAUGGAACGGAGUAUCCCAGAAAUGGGCAGGGCUGGCUGGCGGAUUCUGAUCAAGAGUACUCCCUGCUACCGCAUUUUGCUCUUCUUUUUUUUGUCACAUUGGUCCCACUUGUGUUCUUGCAACACAAUGCAGCUGUUUGGCCAACCGGUGCGUAUUCAUUUGCUGCGAAGCAAUCCAUGGUUUUUACCCACACGCCAUACCGAGCCCUUGGUCCGUUUGUGCCGUAGAUAUUCAAUUUACUCGCGUUCGUGUUGAGGGUGGGGGGGUGGGGGAGAGUCAUAAAAACGAUACCCCUGCUUUAAACCACUCAGAAGCUCUUUGGGGGCAAGGAGAAGGGACCCCAGGUUUGCAAGCGAUACGGCAGUACUUAGCUAACGCUCAGGUUUCGACAGCACCCUCCCACCCCCUUCCCUUCCCUUGCUCCCCCCAGUGGUUCCUUUAGUCUUUCUGGGAAGCUGCCAAACACCUGUGCAGCGAAGAGUGCAACAAAUAUUCUUGCUGUUUAAUUUAGCUUUGCACAGAAAAGGCUGCAUUAGGCCUGAUGUAGGCCUAAUCCCGGCCCUCUAAAGAGGUUUAAAGCGCUCUGGUUUCACCUAAUCCCGAAACCUAAGCCAGCAUCUUUGAAAACUUCCAUGACACCACAGAAUGAGCAAAUAAAGGGGCAUUCGACUAUUAAAUUAUUAGAAGGGACACAGUGUGUCUUUUGGAUUUUCAGACUUAAAGCUCUCCCUAAGGAGCUUGGCCGCGGCCACAAUAAGAAUGUUUAUUUUGCAGACAACAGGGUGGGGGUCUCGCUGACGGUUUAUUAUGCCUUGUCUGAUUGCUUGGGUGGGUGAGUGGGGGGAGAGCGAGAGAAGAAAGAAAAAGUGGUAAUAUCGCUGUGUGGUGGUUGGGCAUGUCGAAGAAAACGAAAGAAGGAGCAUGUCUAGACAUUGCAAGCUUACAAAAAAAACCCCCUCAAAAACAACCACCCUGAGCUGGUUUCUUAUUUUAUAGAUCGUUCAAACUGUCCAAAAUGCCACAUUUGAGCCUUUAAGCCUGAUUCCUCAUAAUGCUAAAUACGAGGGCUACUAAACAAGCAGAAAGGGAGCUCCUGGCAGCUUGCCCUAAGAGCAGUAGAUUGAAGCACAAUUUGGCUGGUAAUUGGCAAUAUGGACCUAUUGUUUUGCAGAAUAGUAAAGGAGGACCCCUGCUGACAGGCAAUUUAAUGUGCUUAAAAAAUAAGGUUGGGUUAGAACUUUGCAGGGAAAGGAGGCAUCUGAGAGUUCUGCAGGCACCCUGAUGGGCAGGUUUGGGAUUUUUUGCAGAUAUUCUGCAGGUAUUCAAUGCAACAAUAGCACAUUAAAAGGUAAAGGGACCCCUGACCAUUAGGUCCAGUCGUGACCGACUCUGGGGUUGCGACGCUCAUCUCGCUUUAUUGGCCGAGGGAGCCGGCGUACAGCUUCCGGGUCAUGUGGCCAGCAUGACUAAGCCGCUUCUGGCGAACCAGAGCAGCGCACGGAAAUGCCGUUUACCUUCCCGCCGGAGCGGUACCUAUUUAUCUACUUGCACUUUGACGUGCUAGGUUGGCAGGAGCAGGGACCGAGCAACGGGAGCUCACCCCGUUGCAGGGAUUCAAACCACUGACCUUCUGAUCGGCAAGUCCUAGUCUCUGUGGUUUAACCCACAGCGCCACCCGCGUCCCUAAUAGCACAUUAGUGGUGGGUUUAUAGUGGGUUUAAGGGUGCUGAGAGUUGUUAGAACCCCCGUUCCCCUCCCAGAACUACAGUUCCCAGAGUGGUUCAACAAUCAACCCCUCUUCAUAGGGUACACUGGGAAUUGUAGUUCUGAUUAGUGGCCUACUAACAGCUCUUAGCACGCUCAACAAACUACAGCUCCCAUAAUUCUUUGGGGGGAAGCCACAACUGUUUAAAGUAGUAUCAUAGCGCUUUAAAUGCUUGGUGUGAAUUCAGCAUUGCUCAAUUUAUGGUGGCCAGUCUUUACCCUAAUAUAUGCCUUAUUUGUACACGUCACCCACUGAGAGUCGCCAAGAUGCUAUCACAGGUGGCUGAGAUUAAGACCUGUCAAUCUAAUAAAUUGUAUACUUCUUUUAUCCCAUUGUAGCUAUGGUUUUCCCGGUAGUGAUGUAUGGAAGUGAGAGCUGGACCAUAAAGAAGGCUGAUCGCCGAAGAAUUGAUGCUUUUGAAUUAUGGUGCUGGAGGAGACUCUUGAGAGUCCCAUGGACUGCAAGAAGAUCAAACCUAUCCAUUCUGAAGGAAAUCAGUCCUGAGUGCUCACUGGAAGGACAGAUCGUGAAGCUGAGGCUCCAAUACUUUGGCCACCUCAUGAGAAGAGAAGACUCCCUGGAAAAGACCCAGAUGUUGGGAAAGAUGGAGGGCACAAGGAGAAGGGGAUGACAGAGGACGAGAUGGUUGGACAGUGUUCUCGAAGCUACCAACAUGAGUUUGACCAAACUGCGGGAGGCAGUGGAAGACAGGAGGGCCUGGCGUGCUCUGGUCCAUGGGGUCAUGAAGAGUCGGACACAACUAAACGACUAAACAACAACAACAAUCCAUUCCCUGCCAAGAUAUCUGGUAGAUUUACCAAAUGUUAAAAUGAGGAUAGCCUUUACACAGGCAAGACUAAACGUCCUUCCAUCAGCAGACUGGACAGGCCGACAUAAAGGAGUUCCUAAGAAGGACAGGGUUUGCAGCUGCAACUCUGUUAUCAGUAGAAGACAUAAUUCAUGUACUCCGUGAGUGCCCUUUCUGUGACAAUCUCAGAAACAAUCACAUCCACCCAUUGCUAAGAUCGCAGAAGGGAAGGCCGUCUCUUGCAAAGACCUGUCUUUUGCUGUCCGAUGUUGAGAGAUAUAUAUGCUGCACAUGUAGUUUCAUGGUGAAUUUUGGAUAUAAUGGAGAUGUAAAAGAUUUGGAUUGUUAUAAAAGAUGCAGGAGGAAAUGAUUAAUAAUAGGGCCCACAAAGGGGAGGAGG
This is a non-coding RNA of Podarcis lilfordi (Lilford's wall lizard), 2996 nucleotides long. NCBI's taxonomy places the organism in Eukaryota, Metazoa, Chordata, Lepidosauria, Squamata, Lacertidae. The record is from the annotation of a GenBank genome assembly.